GUGGCAGUAGCCCAACGGUAGAGCCCUCGCCUGAUAAGCGAAGAGGCCCGGGUUCAGCUCCCGGUUGUUUCU
This 72-nucleotide transfer RNA is filed under the name Toxocara canis (dog roundworm). It matches the Rfam family "tRNA". Rfam says of the family: Transfer RNA (tRNA) molecules are approximately 80 nucleotides in length. Lineage: Eukaryota; Metazoa; Nematoda; Chromadorea; Rhabditida; Toxocaridae. The record is from Rfam by way of RNAcentral.